GAUGAACGCUGGCGGCGUGCUUAACACAUGCAAGUCGAGCGAGAAUAUCAUGACUGAUUCUUCGGAUGAAGGAUUGAUAGGAAAGCGGCGGACGGGUGAGUAACGCGUGGGUAACCUACCUUACACAAAGGGAUAGCCACUGGAAACGGUGAUUAAUACCAUAUGAAGCCAUUAAAUCGCAUGAUUUUAUGGUUAAAGUGUUAGCGGUGUAAGAUGGACCCGCGUCUGAUUAGCUAGUUGGUGAGGUAAUGGCUCACCAAGGCGACGAUCAGUAGCCGGCCUGAGAGGGUGAACGGCCACACUGGAACUGAGACACGGUCCAGACUUCUACGGAAGGCAGCAGUGGGGAAUAUUGCACAAUGGGGGAAACCCUGAUGCAGCAACGCCGUGUGAGCGAUGAAGGUUUUCGGAUCGUAAAGCUCUGUCUUGAAGGAAGAAAAAAAUGACGGUACUUCAAGAGGAAGCCCCGGCUAACUACG
This 479-nucleotide ribosomal RNA is filed under the name uncultured Eubacteriales bacterium. RNAcentral describes it as "bacterial SSU rRNA". It matches the Rfam family "Bacterial small subunit ribosomal RNA", at positions 28 to 505 of the family's 1533-position model. Lineage: Bacteria; Bacillati; Bacillota; Clostridia; Eubacteriales. The record is from RNAcentral.